Lepisosteus oculatus (spotted gar) is the source of this 119-nucleotide ribosomal RNA. Lineage: Eukaryota; Metazoa; Chordata; Actinopteri; Semionotiformes; Lepisosteidae. The record is from Ensembl.
AUCAGCAGCCAUGUCACCCUGCAACUCACAACUGGCAACCCACUGAAGCUAAGCAGGUGUGAGCCUGGUCAGUUCCUGGAUGGGAGACCUCCUGGGAAAAACUAAGGUUGCUGCUGGAA